RNAcentral lists this transfer RNA (76 nucleotides) under Rhizomicrobium electricum. Its description in RNAcentral is "tRNA-Lys". It matches the Rfam family "tRNA". Rfam says of the family: Transfer RNA (tRNA) molecules are approximately 80 nucleotides in length. RNAcentral also lists the same sequence under 3 other names. The record is from RNAcentral. Lineage: Bacteria; Pseudomonadati; Pseudomonadota; Alphaproteobacteria; Micropepsales; Micropepsaceae.
GGGUGAUUAGCUCAGGCGGUAGAGCAGCUGACUCUUAAUCAGCGGGUCACAGGUUCGAGUCCUGUAUCACCCACCA